GACAACACUGAAUGUCACUAAUGUCAGAUUUGUUCCAACAGACACGAAUUUUUACUGUGGAGAAUUUAUUGAAAUUUAACCGUUUUUCGGCGAUAAUCAUUGUUGAUUUGUACAAAUUAGUGAUCAGAAAACUUGAUGAAUGAGUGAACUUGUACCAGGACUCGAAUCACCACACAUGGUAUCUUGAACGACUAAAGCAGAUGACUUAUGAUAUCAAUUUAGUUAAGGAAAACAAAAACACCAACCUGUUAGCGAUUCCGGAUUUUUAUUGUUCUGAUCAAUAGUUACUUCUAAGGCAUUAGAAAAACAUUCAAUUUUUUCGUGCGCUUGAGAUGGUAGUAUAUUUGAUUCGCCAAUAUUGUUAUGCUGUUAUCAAUCAGUAAUUUGGUAAAUAUUCUUUUGUUACGAUUCUACACUAAACGUAACGCAAAUUUUUGAUUUUUACACGAAAUUGUUAAAACCUUAUACCUACUAACUACACUUUAAACUUAUUAAACCUAAAACUAAACAGAACAAAUAAAACUAAAUAACAAAUUCAAUAGAACAAUGAUAACAAAAUUUUAAAAAUAAAACAAAAAAUAGAACAAAAAUAGAACAAAAAUAUACAUAUAAAGAGUUGUUAAGGCUCAUGACAGCAACAGUUUUAAUAUUGUUUAAUGUUUUUGACUAGGAAUUUUGAAUAUGUGAGCAUUGAGGUCAUUGAAAUGUUGCCUACUGUCAGUUUGCUUUUGAUCUAAAUACUUUUACCAGUAAAAAUAAGUGAAAUGCAAUACUUUCAUAUUAAUGUUCAUGAAUCAAUUUUUCUUUAAUGUGGAUGGGAAUUGACCUUUCCCUUCCAAGGGAAAAGUCAUUCCAUCCUUCUUAAAGGAAAACGUCAUACUGCACUCAGGAAAUAAUUUGAUAUUUCGUAUCACGAUGAGUAAAAUCGGGCUAAGCCCUCGAUCACUCAUCUGGAUACGAAUUAUAAAAUUCCUUCCCUUACAUAGUAAUGUGAAGAACAUUACAUUUCAUACAAUUUUUUAAAAUUUUAAAUUUAAAGGACGAAUUUUAGAACAGCCAUACGAUUGUUUAAUUUAGUAUGAAACUUGUUAAAUUAUUGAAUAAUAAUAUUGGUAUAUAUACCCGCGAAGCAUUUUUCUUGCGAAUGAAAUAUUCAACUUUCUUCCAAUUUUUCGAAUAUUCUCCAAGAUUCUUGUUAGGGAUCCAGUCCACAUCUAAAUAAUCGUCGGCUUUUGAAGGU
Long non-coding RNA from Bradysia coprophila, 1240 nucleotides. The record is from RefSeq and is a predicted model, not a curated record. NCBI's taxonomy places the organism in Eukaryota, Metazoa, Arthropoda, Insecta, Diptera, Sciaridae.